UACAGAGGGUGCGAGCGUUGUUCGGAAUUAUUGGGCGUAAAGAGCUCGUAGGCGGUCUGUCGCGUCGGAUGUGAAAACCCAGGGCUCAACCCUGGGCCUGCAUUCGAUACGGGCAGACUAGAGUUCGGUAGGGGAGACUGGAAUUCCUGGUGUAGCGGUGAAAUGCGCAGAUAUCAGGAGGAACACCGGUGGCGAAGGCGGGUCUCUGGGACGGUACUGACGCUAAGGCGCGAAAGCGUGGGGAGCGAACAGG
This 253-nucleotide ribosomal RNA is filed under the name uncultured bacterium. RNAcentral describes it as "partial 16S ribosomal RNA". It matches the Rfam family "Bacterial small subunit ribosomal RNA", at positions 524 to 776 of the family's 1533-position model. The record is from RNAcentral.